RNAcentral lists this transfer RNA (71 nucleotides) under Bos taurus (domestic cattle). It matches the Rfam family "tRNA". Rfam says of the family: Transfer RNA (tRNA) molecules are approximately 80 nucleotides in length. Their secondary structure includes four short double-helical elements and three loops (D, anti-codon, and T loops). RNAcentral also lists the same sequence under 3 other names. Lineage: Eukaryota; Metazoa; Chordata; Mammalia; Artiodactyla; Bovidae. The record is from Rfam by way of RNAcentral.
UCCCAGGUGGCUCAGUGGUAAAGAAUCUGCUUUCCAUGCAGGAGACACAGGUUCAAUCCCUGGGUUGGGAA